Molecule: ribosomal RNA, 506 nt
Filed under: uncultured bacterium
Lineage: Bacteria
Description: bacterial SSU rRNA
Rfam family: Bacterial small subunit ribosomal RNA
Source: RNAcentral
CGGAAUGCUUUACACAUGCAAGUCGAACGGCAGCACGGACUUCGGUCUGGUGGCGAGUGGCGAACGGGUGAGUAAUACAUCGGAACGUGCCCAGUCGUGGGGGAUAACGUAGCGAAAGCUACGCUAAUACCGCAUACGAUCUACGGAUGAAAGCGGGGGAUCGCAAGACCUCGCGCGAUUGGAGCGGCCGAUGGCAGAUUGGGUAGUUGGUGGGGUAAAGGCUCACCAAGCCGACGAUCUGUAGCUGGUCUGAGAGGACGACCAGCCACACUGGGACUGAGACACGGNCCANACUCCUACGGGAGGCAGCAGUGGGGAAUUUUGGACAAUGGGCGCAAGCCUGAUCCAGCCAUUCCGCGUGCAGGAUGAAGGCCCUCGGGUUGUAAACUGCUUUUGUACGGAACGAAAAGGCUCUGGUUAAUACCCGGGGCUCGUGACGGUACCGUAAGAAUAAGCACCGGCUAACUACGUGCCAGCAGCCGCGGUAAUACGUAGGGUGCGAGCGU